This 824-nucleotide ribosomal RNA is filed under the name uncultured bacterium. RNAcentral's name for it is "bacterial SSU rRNA". It matches the Rfam family "Bacterial small subunit ribosomal RNA", at positions 59 to 849 of the family's 1533-position model. The record is from RNAcentral.
CAGUCGAGCGAGCGGAACCAACAGAUUUACUUCGGUAAUGACGUUGGGAAAGCCAUUGGCGGAUGGGUGAGUAACACGUGGGGAACCUGCCCCUAAGUCUGGGAUACCAUUUGGAAACAGGUGCUAAUACCGGAUAAUAAAGCAGAUCGCAUGAUCAGCUUUUGAAAGGCGGCGUAAGCUGUCGCUAAGGGAUGGCCCCGCGGUGCAUUAGCUAGUUGGUAAGGUAACGGCUUACCAAGGCGACGAUGCAUAGCCGAGUUGAGAGACUGAUCGGCCACAUUGGGACUGAGACACGGCCCAAACUCCUACGGGAGGCAGCAGUAGGGAAUCUUCCACAAUGGACGCAAGUCUGAUGGAGCAACGCCGCGUGAGUGAAGAAGGUUUUCGGAUCGUAAAGCUCUGUUGUUGGUGAAGAAGGAUAGAGGUAGUAACUGGCCUUUAUUUGACGGUAAUCAACCAGAAAGUCACGGCUAACUACGUGCCAGCAGCCGCGGUAAUACGUAGGUGGCAAGCGUUGUCCGGAUUUAUUGGGCGUAAAGCGAGCGCAGGCGGAAAAAUAAGUCUAAUGUGAAAGCCCUCGGCUUAACCGAGGAACUGCAUCGGAAACUGUUUUUCUUGAGUGCAGAAGAGGAGAGUGGAACUCCAUGUGUAGCGGUGGAAUGCGUAGAUAUAUGGAAGAACACCAGUGGCGAAGGCGGCUCUCUGGUCUGCAACUGACGCUGAGGCUCGAAAGCAUGGGUAGCGAACAGGAUUAGAUACCCUGGUAGUCCAUGCCGUAAACGAUGAGUGCUAAGUGUUGGGAGGUUUCCGCCUCUCAGUGCUGC